ACGACCCGAAAUUUAUUAUUCGUUAUUUAAUUAUUUUAUUAUGCGAGGGCGUAAUUCAUAAUUAUUUUAUUAAGCGGCGAAUAAUUAAUUGGCGCGAAUAUAAGUUAAUACGCGAGUUAGGAGCGUUACGUGAGCGAAACCAUGUUAAGUGGGCUUGAAGCCCAAUGGGCCAAGGCAAGGGAAAGGGGGGCGGUUUAUGAUGCAAGUGGGAGGAGAAGAUAUUUUCUUCUACUUGGUUGGUAAGAAAAUUCAAUAAAGGUGGAAAGGAGAUAAGAACAAGAGAAAAAUCACAAAGUUCAUUCAUCCUUCUUCUUCUCUCUUCUUUGGCCGUGGCAUUUCUUUAUCAUUUCCCUUCCAUCACAAAUUUUCAUUUCUUCACCAAAUUGAUCCAUUAGAAGCUUGUUGGAAUCAUGGGAGUUCAAGGAUCAUCAUCCCUAAGCUAGGGCAAGCAAGAGAGCAAAGCAAGAGGGUGCUAGGGCUUGAGAAAGAGAGGAGCUCAUGAGAGCUAGAACAUGAGGAGCUUGAGGAUUCAUCAAAUUUCUAAGAUAUCCAGGUUGACAGGUUAUAUGUUAGCUUGUCCGAGUAGCGUGGUGAAGCUCCGCUCUGAUUGUGACACGGGGAGAAAAGGGGUUUUGUAUAUAUAUAUAUAUAUAUAUAUAAAUUCCUUUAGAAAAUUACUCUGUAAUUGCUUAUGUUUUCAUAUAAGAAUUAUUCUUUGUGAAAAGUAUUGGUUUUGUAUAACUUAUAACGCAUCGUGUUGAUGCGGAGGAUUUUGUAUUUUGUGAUAUUCAAACCAGCGCUUUAUAAUCAGAUUUUCAA
Molecule: long non-coding RNA, 819 nt
Organism: Trifolium pratense (red clover)
Lineage: Eukaryota; Viridiplantae; Streptophyta; Magnoliopsida; Fabales; Fabaceae
Exons: 2
Source: RefSeq, a predicted model, not a curated record